Long non-coding RNA from Brassica napus (rape), 2009 nucleotides. RefSeq lists it as uncharacterized. The record is from RefSeq and is a predicted model, not a curated record. Lineage: Eukaryota; Viridiplantae; Streptophyta; Magnoliopsida; Brassicales; Brassicaceae. The transcript has 4 exons.
ACCACCACAAUGAUACUCGACCAUUCUCUUUCUUUUUUUUUUUUUUAACGGGUUUCUGCACAACCCGUAUCCUUAACCUUCUCAGGCUUAUGCGAAGACACUAUAAUUUAUGUCAGUUUUUUUGGCCUCUCUUUCUUCAAUGCUUCGACUUGUUUCCCACAUAAAAUUUGUUUUUGAGGCUAUUGUUGCAGGAGAGACGUACUCAGACUCUUAUCCUUAACUCUCUCAGGCUUGUGUGAGGUGCAGUGACGUGCAGAGACGAGCUCAUGUAUUAUCAGCAUGUUAUUUGUUUGUGUAUUAGACGCCGUGUUGUUCAUGUUAGGAUAAGACUCCUAAGGCCAGAGUAAUAUAACUGAGCCAGUGGUUUUCUUGUUUAACAUCUCCUACCUUACUGAAUGAUUCUCCUAUUUUUCACGUUCUUUUUCCUCUUUUCAUGUGUGGUUGAUGAAUAUAUGAUAUAUGAAUAGAUCGGUGUUUCUAGAGGGUUUUCUUUCAUUUCUUUAUGAUUUUUGUUUUAUUAGUCGACACUUUUCUCCGUUUGAUUUCAAUUAUUAGAUUUUUGGUUAUUAGAGAUAUUAAUGAAUUAAUUAAAAUGGUAAUUUGAGUAAAUAGAAUUUACUAAGAGGAUGAGAUGGGUGCUAAACUAAUCUCCAUUGUAUAAAACCAAUGUUGUUUCACAGGUUUGUUGAGACCAAAAAGUAUAUGUAUUUGGUCUCUCCAGGAUCUCAAGCCACAUAAGAGCAGUAUUAACGCGGUAUGUUAAGGGGGUUUUUAAAGUUUUUAGGAGUUAAAAAAAAGAAAAUUAUGUAAUUAAGAAGGCACGUCUCUUAAUUAAACUCCACAAGAGCCGUGUCUUAUGAGACACGUGUUGGACAUUCCGCUCCUUGUCUCUUUCUCUCUCUUGACCGAUCGAUGCCAAGUCUCUUUCGUAUCGGCGACUCCGCCUCUCUCUUUUCUCGAUCUCUCUCGAAUGAAUCGACGAUAAUCUCUCUCUCGACGGAAUAGAACGGAAUCGACGAUGAUCUCUUCUCAACGGAAUCAGUCGAAGAUCUCUCCUUGACGGAAUCAGUUGGUGUCUCACUCAGUGGACUCCUCGUCUCUCUCUCUCUCUCUCUCUCUCUCGACGGCUCACCUCGAUGAAGAAUCACUUCACCUCUCUCUCCGGUCCGGAGCUCUCCUCAACGAAAUCAAAACGAAAGGUAAAGCUAUGUAUUUUUCCUUUUAUAUCUGAAUCCUUCUUGAUUUGUUGUGUUGGUUUCUGCCUCUUGAUUUGUCUCUGUCUUUCUUUCUUCAGAUGGACGGAUCAAGAGACGAAGGUUCGUCAAACAAGACAACUACAAUUGCAAUAAAAAUGGAUGGAUCAAAUCCCUUUUGAUUUGUUCUGUCUUUGUGCCUUUACAUGGAUGGAUCAAGAGACAUGAGCAAGGUUGACGUUGGCAAAGGAGUACAAUGCAAUAGAGAUUCACGGACUAGCUCAUUGUAGUCAUGUCUUGGUGCGAUGUAAAGAUGUCAAGUUCCAUCUCUUUGUUUCAAGACAGUGGGAGCAUUGAGAGCAUCCGUGUGUCGUUGGUUGUCACAUGUAUUGUGGGAGCAUUGGGAAGAUUAUGAGAGCAUGUAUCAUCUCCAUAAUAUGAUAGUAGAAGAUGAACGAGAUGGAUACACUCAAUUUGAUGUUUCAGAGUUCCAACAAGGAGAAGACACCGGAAGUUCACAUGUGGAUCUCACGUAUUCUACAGAUAUCCCUACAAAUAUCGCCAAUAUGAUGGGUGUUCGAACUAGAAUUCGUGAUAGGCAAAUGCAUCAACAACUGAAAGAUGAUUUGGUUGAACAUGUAUUGCGUAAAUUUGGACGUGAUAAAGGCAACAACUGAGCUCAGAUGCUUCUUUCAAAUUAUUAUAGUUUAUUUUACUAAUAUUUAUUUUUAUGUUUUUUAAAUCUAUGUUUAAAAUGUUAUCUUUUACAAUGUUUUAUUUAAUAAAUAAAUUUUAUCUUUAAUUAAAAUGCUUAAU